UCAUUAGCUCAGAUGGUGAGAGCCGUUGCCUCAUAAGCAGAAGGUCGUAGGUUCGAGUCCUACAUGAUCC
Molecule: transfer RNA, 70 nt
Filed under: Blautia hydrogenotrophica
Lineage: Bacteria; Bacillati; Bacillota; Clostridia; Lachnospirales; Lachnospiraceae
Rfam family: tRNA
About the family: Transfer RNA (tRNA) molecules are approximately 80 nucleotides in length. Their secondary structure includes four short double-helical elements and three loops (D, anti-codon, and T loops).
Source: RNAcentral